AUUGAACGCUGGCGGCAGGCCUAACACAUGCAAGUCGAGCGAGCGGCGGACGGGUGAGUAAUGUAUGGGGACUGCCCGUUAGAGGGGGAUCACUACUGGAAACGGUGGCUAAUACCGCAUACUAUCGGAUAACCCAUAUGGGAUUAGCUAGUAGGUGGGGUAAAGGCUCACCUAGGCGACGAUCGCUAGCUGGUCUGAGAGGAUGAGCAGCAACACUGGGACUGAGACACGGCCCAGACGCUUACGGAGGCAGCAGUGGGGAAUAUCGCACAAUGGGCAAAAGCCUGAUGCAGCAAUGCCGCGUGUAUGAAGAAGGCCCUAGGGUUGAAAAGUACUUUCAGUCGGGAGGCGUUACCGACAGAAGAAGCACCGGCUAACUCCGUGCCAGCCGCCGCGGUAAUUC
This 403-nucleotide ribosomal RNA is filed under the name uncultured bacterium. Its description in RNAcentral is "partial 16S ribosomal RNA". It matches the Rfam family "Bacterial small subunit ribosomal RNA", at positions 30 to 526 of the family's 1533-position model. The record is from RNAcentral.